AUAGCACCUUCUUUGACCCAGCUGGAGGGGGAGACCCUAUCCUGUACCAACACCUAUUUUGAUUCUUUGGUCACCCCGAAGUCUAUAUCCUAAUCCUACCAGGCUUCAGAAUAAUUUCCCACAUCGUAACAUAUUACUCUGGAAAAAAAGAACCGUUCGGAUACAUGGGCAUAGUCUGAGCCAUGAUGUCAAUUGGUGUUAAGAGUUGUGAGGGUAGUUAUGAU
Molecule: long non-coding RNA, 224 nt
Filed under: Homo sapiens (human)
Lineage: Eukaryota; Metazoa; Chordata; Mammalia; Primates; Hominidae
Description: non-protein coding lnc-MAP3K7-5:1
Source: RNAcentral